Non-coding RNA from Leptonychotes weddellii (Weddell seal), 566 nucleotides. The record is from RefSeq and is a predicted model, not a curated record. NCBI's taxonomy places the organism in Eukaryota, Metazoa, Chordata, Mammalia, Carnivora, Phocidae.
AAACAUGUGAGGCCACCAGUGCUUCACAGAUUCAAGUCCAGAGGUGUGGCAGUUCUGGAAGGCAGGACACUGUGAUGGAAAAGAGCACCAGGAGGCCAUCCCAGCUCUGACUGUUAUAGCUGUGAGGCCUGGACAAGUUACUUAGUUUCUUGAGGCUUCUGUUUCCUCACUUUAAAUUCAAGAUACCAACAGGACAUACCUUGUAAGGUUGAGAUUAAUACCUGCACAGUGAUUAAAACUGCUCCUGGUGCUUCAUAAACCCAGGCUGUAUGUGCAUCACCCAUAUCCUGGUCUCCAUUAGGUAAGUGAGACAUGUUCUAGAACAACCUCCAACCUCCUUUAAAGGAAGUAUAAACCUUUAUUUAAAAGCUUGCUCUGGAUGACUCAUAAACAUCUAUAUAUAACAAUUAACUUCUCUCCCAUUAAAAGGAGUGAUUCUCUUCCCUGUGACAAUUCUAGCCAGCUAAAUUGCCUUAAUUUAUAAGCAACUGUUUUUUUGGUCAUUUGUUGAAAAUACCUCUCAUAGGUGUACCUCCUGCUAGGCAAUAAAUGGUUCUUGAAAAGUU